RNAcentral lists this unclassified non-coding RNA (336 nucleotides) under soil metagenome. RNAcentral describes it as "partial contains 5.8S ribosomal RNA, internal transcribed spacer 2, and large subunit ribosomal RNA". The stretch from base 1 to 120 matches the Rfam family "5.8S ribosomal RNA", at positions 35 to 154 of the family's 154-position model. The record is from RNAcentral.
GAUGAAGAACGUAGCGAAAUGCGAUAAGUAAUGUGAAAUGCAGAAUUCAGUGAAUCAUCGAAUCUUUGAACGCACAUUGCGCCCGCCAGUAUUCUGGCGGGCAUGCCUGUUCGAGCGUCAUUUCAACCAUCAAGCCCCCGGCUUGUGUUGGGGACCUGCGGCUGCCGCAGGCCCUGAAAAGCAGUGGCGGGCUCGCUGUCACACCGAGCGUAGUAGAUUUCAUCUCGCUCAGGGCGUGCUGCGGGUUCCGGCCGUUAAACCACCUUCAUAACCCAAGGUUGACCUCGGAUCAGGUAGGAAGACCCGCUGAACUUAAGCAUAUCAAUAAGCGGAGGA